GAGGUAAUCUUUUUUAUACCUCUCCUCUGAGCAAGAGUAGAACGGCCAACUGGCUCCAAAACUGGUGACUGAUUACGAUUCAAAGCAGAGUAAGUUGCUGCCAUUGCACCCUUCACUAAAUGGGGAGCAUCCUGCCUGUUCAGCUGGUAUUGAGGCAACUGGUCACAGUGAACUAUCCAGGGAUGGCUAAGAACUUGGGCUGCAGUCAGUCUUUGAUGUGGGUCAACAUGAAGCAUUUUUGAAACGAGGUCCUUCGCUGUAUCUGAAACAGUGUUCCAAUAACCACCGCUCAGAGAGAAUUUUCCACUACCUAUCCGGGCCAAGAUCUCCUCUGGAG
This 337-nucleotide long non-coding RNA is filed under the name Gallus gallus (chicken). Lineage: Eukaryota; Metazoa; Chordata; Aves; Galliformes; Phasianidae. The record is from RNAcentral.